RNAcentral lists this long non-coding RNA (218 nucleotides) under Elaeis guineensis (African oil palm). RNAcentral's name for it is "long non-coding RNA (EGUI_LNC013304)". The record is from RNAcentral. Lineage: Eukaryota; Viridiplantae; Streptophyta; Magnoliopsida; Arecales; Arecaceae.
GAUCCAUGUCAGCGUGGUGUUCCCAUGAUUAAAUGAUUUCAACCAAUUCAUCAUCCAUGUUAGAUAAACUCCCAUGAGCAUUAUUAACAUCAGGCCGGACAAGAAAAGGAGUCUUGCUUUUCCAUUAAGUUCUAAAAAUUCUGAAUACAUAAUUCUAAUGCAGUUGUAUGCAAGGAUUUUGAAGCAAUAAACAUUUGCUAAGUUAUAGGUUGCUGACC